GAUGAAGAACGCAGCAAAGUGCGAUAAGUAAUGUGAAUUGCAGAAUUCAGUGAAUCAUCGAAUCUUUGAACGCACAUUGCGCCCGCUGGUAUUCCGGCGGGCAUGCCUGUUCGAGCGUCAUUUCAACCCUCAAGCCCCCGGGUUUGGUGUUGGGGAUCGGCUCUGCCUUCUGGCGGUGCCGCCCCCGAAAUACAUUGGCGGUCUCGCUGCAGCCUCCAUUGCGUAGUAGCUAACACCUCGCAACUGGAACGCGGCGCGGCCAUGCCGUAAAACCCCAACUUCUGAAUGUUGACCUCGGAUCAGGUAGGAAUACCCGCUGAACUUAAGCAUAUCAAUAAGCGGAGGA
This 346-nucleotide unclassified non-coding RNA is filed under the name soil metagenome. RNAcentral's name for it is "partial contains 5.8S ribosomal RNA, internal transcribed spacer 2, and large subunit ribosomal RNA". The stretch from base 1 to 120 matches the Rfam family "5.8S ribosomal RNA", at positions 35 to 154 of the family's 154-position model. The record is from RNAcentral.